Molecule: ribosomal RNA, 471 nt
Filed under: Triticum aestivum (bread wheat)
Lineage: Eukaryota; Viridiplantae; Streptophyta; Magnoliopsida; Poales; Poaceae
Description: partial small subunit ribosomal RNA
Source: RNAcentral
AUGAUCAAACACCGUCGGAUUCUUACAGAUCCAACGGCAGCCCUCACCCCCUCACCCUCUCACCCAACCGCACCCCAACUACCCCCAAACCCUAACUCCCACUUCCCCAUCGCCUCGCCCUCGUCCUCUCCCAUCGAUCCUGCCCGCCGCCGCACCCUGGCCCCUCCGCCCCUUCCAGAUCCAGCGAGUCGCGCGCCUCAGCCUCGCCGGCGACCUUCCCCUCACGUGGAGGAGGGCCACCCGUCCCGCUACAUCAAGCUCACCAAGGACCAGGACGCCCCCGGCGAGGACAUCUGCCCCGGCGAGCUCAACCAGCCCGUCCACAUCCCCCAACUCGAGGGCCGGAGGUGCGGCGAGUGCAGCCAGGUCCUCCUGGAGAUCUACGAGCCGCCUGCCGACGAGCCGUGGUCCACCGGGAUCUUCGGCUGCACCGACGACCCCGAGAGUUGGGCACAAUGCUGGAGCUGGUAG